Long non-coding RNA from Odontomachus brunneus, 1963 nucleotides. RefSeq lists it as uncharacterized. The transcript has 2 exons. NCBI's taxonomy places the organism in Eukaryota, Metazoa, Arthropoda, Insecta, Hymenoptera, Formicidae. The record is from RefSeq and is a predicted model, not a curated record.
CCCUGUACCUAAGAGCAGGAUCAAGAAUAGUUUUGAUCUGGUUAAUUCUUUGGCUAAUUUGUAUAUGGAGGAACACUGUAGAUUGUUUUCGUUGGAUGUGAUCUCAUUGUUCACUAACGUUCCCCUUGAGUUGGUUAUGGAUGGUGUCUUGAGAAGAUGGAGUUUUCUGGAAGUGGCUUGUAGGAUUCCUAGGGAUGAGUUUAUAUUAGCGCUCAGAUUCGUCCUUAACUCCUCUUAUUUCAGCUUUGAUGGCUGUAUUUACAAGCAGACCUUUGGCACCCCGAUGGGCUCUCCUCUCUCUCCAAUCAUAGCUGAUAUUGUUCUCCAAGACCUUGAGGAAAGAGCACUCCAGACGAUAGAGAUUUGUUUACCUUUUUAUUAUCGUUGACGACAUCGUUAUGGCUGCUCCAGAAACUUCUAUAGAGAAUAUCUUAAAUGUUUUUAACUCUUUUCAUUCACGCCUUCAAUUUACGAUUGAUUUUGGCGAUAGAGGCAAAAUUUGUUUUUUUGGAAACAUCUAUGAAAAUUGUAGAUUGUAGGUUUAGGUUUGAUUGGUACCACAAACCUACUUACUCUGGCCGCCUUUUUAAUUACAACUCCUUUCAUCCUAUACAGCAUAAAAUUGGUACAAUCAUAGGGUUAGUGGAUAGAGUAAUUUUUUUGAGCCAUCCAAUGUUCCAUGUAAAAAAUUUUGAGUUUGUUUUCCACACAUUGGUUAUGAAUGGUUAUCCCAUCGAAUUUAUUCUUAGAAUCUGUAGGAGACGUGUGUUUCGACUAAUUGAAAAAAUGAAUAUUAUUCCACCAAGUACAUCUUCGUCUUCCUUGUUACCCACUCGUUCUUAUAAUAUUUUUCCAUAUUUGGGAAUGAUUUCAGAUAGAAUCAGUAAGAUUUUUAAAGAAUUUAAUAAGGUUUCAUGUUUCAGUAUUAUGAACAAGCUUUCUGGUCUGGUUCGUGUCCAUAAAGACGCUUUGCCUCUGAAUCUUCUGAAUAACGUUGUAUAUAAGUUAGAGUGCGGAGACUGUGACUCGUCUUAUGUUGGUCAGACGAGCAGAAGGCUCUCCACUCGUGUAUCUGAACAUAAACGACUACCUUGAGACCUUACUUCGCAUCUCUCUGUCGUACAAGAGCACCGUGUUAAUUACGGCCACGAAUUUAAAUGGGAUAAUGUCAAAGUUUUGCAUAAGGAACAUCUAUUUUAUAAAAGAAUGAUUGCAGAGAUGAUUUUUAUAAAAAUGCAGACGCAUGGACUGAAUUCUCAUACUGACACUGAGAAUUUAGGAAAAUGUUACAACAUGUUACUCGGUUUGACUUAGAUCGUAUUUCGUUUGCGGUUACGAAGUAAAUAUAAACACUGGAUUCUGUAUUGUUUGCGGCAUUCGGAGGUGCACGUUCAUAGGCAUAACAUCUCACCGGAACUCUCUGGCCUUUAUCGAGAUGAUCAUACCACAGCAUCUUAGUACGUGCGAUGGAGUGACCAGUCUCGGAAUAAAUUGUCGGUAGCUUCCAAAAAUGAAACAUUUCAUUGUGUAAAUGAUAUAUUAUGUUUGUGCUUCCGAAUCCCGUAGACAAAAAAUUUGUAGCGACAAUUCUGUAACAACCAAUGUUAACGUUAACUUUUGCGAUUUUUUAUUUUUUGCGACACUAUAACAUUACUUGUAAUCACUGAAGAGGGUCUGUGAAAUGAGACCGAAACGCGUAUGAUAUUUAAUAAAAUUUGUUCUCAUGGCGAGAUUGUGUCACUAUGUUUUAAUAGUUUAUAAUAGCACUAUACAACCUGUGCGUGAACUCUAAUUGUCCUUAGGUUAAUGUUGAUAUACUCAAGAAGAGUUUUUUAGUUAUAUUAUUUUAAUUAAAUAUCUCUGAAAAUAUCUCUGAUUAUCUAUGCUAUUUUUUACUAUCUAUAUAAUUCAAACUUGUAAAAGUAAAGCAGUUUUAUAGGAAUAAAACAGAAUUGUAGGAAUA